GACAGAGGGUGCAAACGUUGUUCGGAAUUACUGGGCUUAAAGGGUGCGUAGGCGGUGCGGAAAGUAGGGUGUGAAAUCCCUCGGCUCAACCGAGGAACAGCGCUCUAAACUACCGUGCUUGAGGGAGAUAGAGGUAAGCGGAACUUCGGGUGGAGCGGUGGAAAUGCGUUGAUAUCCGAAGGAACACCGGUGGCGAAAGACGGCUUACUGGAUCUUCUCUGACGCUGAGGCACGAAAGCUAGGGUAGCAAACGGG
Molecule: ribosomal RNA, 255 nt
Filed under: uncultured bacterium
Lineage: Bacteria
Description: partial 16S ribosomal RNA
Rfam family: Bacterial small subunit ribosomal RNA
Source: RNAcentral